Molecule: ribosomal RNA, 390 nt
Filed under: Triticum aestivum (bread wheat)
Lineage: Eukaryota; Viridiplantae; Streptophyta; Magnoliopsida; Poales; Poaceae
Description: partial small subunit ribosomal RNA
Source: RNAcentral
AUGGUCCUAGGAGCAUGGAGGCACGGUGGAUCCCGGCCUCACAGGCAAGAGGGCUUCGACCUGGACAUAUGUUGGGCAGGUAAAGUCGUUUUGUUCAAUUCUCUGGUGGUAUUGUUCAUCGCAAUAAAGAUCCAAGUCUUCAGCAGGGUGAUGUUUGUGCGAUUGAUUUAUAUUUUUCCGUGGGAAAUCUCUGAUAAUGAAGUCAAAAUUUUAUUUAUUCAAGUCAAAUUUUAUUUACUACUACGGGCCACUGCUAUUGUUAGCUCAGGUUUACUGUUGAUGGCUAUUAUGGGUCUGAUGUUUCUGAAACUGCUUGCGGCGUCACUGCAACUGCAAACACACAUAUUGUCUGUCUCCUGCGUGCCGCUCAAAAUUGAUUGUAGGCUGUGA